UACGUAGGGGGCUAGCGUUGUCCGGAUUUAUUGGGCGUAAAGAGCGCGUAGGCGGCCGAGUAAGUCCGACGUGAAAUCUGGAGGCUCAACCUCCAGCGGUCGUUGGAAACUACUCGGCUAGAGUCCGGAAGAGGAGAGUGGAAUUCCCGGUGUAGCGGUGAAAUGCGUAGAUAUCGGGGAGGAACACCUGUGGCGAAAGCGGCUCACUGGACCAUAACUGACGCUGAUGCACGAAAGCUGGGGGAGCAAACAGG
Molecule: ribosomal RNA, 254 nt
Filed under: uncultured bacterium
Lineage: Bacteria
Description: partial 16S ribosomal RNA
Rfam family: Bacterial small subunit ribosomal RNA
Source: RNAcentral